Olea europaea var. sylvestris is the source of this 871-nucleotide long non-coding RNA. RefSeq lists it as uncharacterized. NCBI's taxonomy places the organism in Eukaryota, Viridiplantae, Streptophyta, Magnoliopsida, Lamiales, Oleaceae. The record is from RefSeq and is a predicted model, not a curated record. The transcript has 4 exons.
GUAUUUUUCAAGUGUUUAUUUCCUCAAAAAGAUUUCCUGCUGAAUAUUUCUUAUUCCAUUAACUUUACUUUUAGAAGAUUCACUAUAUUGAUCUGCAUGGUUCUACUGCUUCGUAUAUUAUCUUAAAAUAGCAUUAAAGAUGGCAUUUUAUUUUCCUGUAAAUAUUCACCUCCUAUCUACCAGAUGCCAUUUGCUUCCCACCAAAUAUUUUGAUCCCAUCUUUAGCCUAUUGUUUCCUGGGUAAUCGAAAGUAGUAGGAGUCAGUUCAUUUGUCAAAGCUAGACACAUCUGAAAAAGAUGUUAGUACAAAAAGGGUGUAACUUCUUGUGCUGACUUGUGCAGCAAUAACAGGUUGUCGUGCCUUGCUCUGGAAAAAUGAGAACUUAUUUGUCAAAGCUAGACACAUCUGAAAAAGAUAUUAGUACAAAAAGGGUGUAACUUCUUGUGCUGACUUGUGCAGCAAUAAUAGUUGCUGAGCUUGUUCCGAUUCAAAAGGUACUGUAUGAGGUUGUGAUCAACACUAUGGCUAAAUAUGCAUGAUGAUAUCCAUUCACUACCUGCCGAUCCUCUGGGAGCGUUUACCAAAGCAGUUGACUGCGUUGAAAGUUCCCGUUCUCUUGCAAAGUGGCAGGUGCAGGACACUGUGUUGAAAGUCCCCAUAAAGUGGCAAGUUGUGUUCAUGUGAUGGUUUGGAAGACGUUCAUCACUUCAUCCGAUGGAAGCUAUGGAAAAUUUCUGAAGCCUAAUGUAAAUCUUAGCAGCCCAAGAAUCUGUAAGGGACUCUCACACCACAAAUGCAAUGCCCGUGACAACACAGUAAUCCUAUAAAGAGCAAGCAAAAGAAACAGAGUUCAAAAAAUCCUAUAAUAUG